GUGAGCUCGCUCUGGAUUCAUGAAGAAGAAGACGACGAAGAAGAAGCAGAGCUCUUGGCUAUGGCGAUCGCCUCUCUGCCACUGGUUCAUCUUUGCGUUCCAAUGGUUCAUGCCCCGCUUUCGUUACGCGACUCCAACCUUGCCGUCGUCAUCGUUGCAUUAAUUAUUAUUUUUGAUUUUUUUUCACACAGCUGCGCUGCCAUACUUCACAAUUUCUUUGUCUGCUAACACUGGUCUCGCUCCUUGCUCUACUAAUUUUAUCUCAGAAACACGAGGCUGGUCCUUGGUGCACGUUAGUUUGGUACUUAGGAUUGUUGUUCGUUGUGGAGGUGGCCUGAAAUGAGUUCAGAAUGGAGGUUUGAUUGUUUGAAAUGGACAUCAUCGGCAUUGUUGUCUUCAAGGUUGUGGAGAGGGGAGACUUAGCUAUCAUUUCACAAGUGGUAAGAAAGAGGAUAAAGAGCUUGAAGUUGCGGACGAGAAUCUGCUAUUCUGUAUGUAUCAGUUUUGUGAGGGAGAAAUCGAGGAUGUCACGAAUUCUCUGCGAAUGAGAAAGCAACAGAGAGGGAGGGUGGGCUUGGUUUUAGCUUUGUUGUUACAGAGGAAACUCAAGUUGAAUAUAUAUGAAGACUAAAACAUCUCAUCAGUUAAUCAUCUUCAAAGUUGCGGCGAGGACAACAGAUGCUCAAUGUCUGCUCAGCAUUGAUCUCGAUCACCUGAUUUUGGUUGCGGUUCACAAGUUUUUGAAAAUGAGAAGGAUUUUCAUGACCAGCAAGAUUACCAGGGGAGACUUCAUUUACCUGUUUUAAGCAUGUUCAAGUUUUCGCAUGCAUUUCCAGUGAUUCUUACUGAAUCGGAGGUUGUUUUCGCUGAAGUUUCUCCACUUUGAGACGGCAGGUAAGAUGCAGCUGCUAUAACAAUCCAACCAUGCCUAUUAUGGACAAGAGCGACGGUCCGCAUCAGCAGGUUGGGGAUCUAGAGAAAAUGUAGCUCUCAUCAAUGAUCACCAAUAUACUUAAAGCUACUGGAGUCACAUCAAAGAUUUGAACUUUAUGCACUCUGAAUCCUUCUCUUCAGAACCGGCAAUCUUCAUUUAGAAAAGCACUACAGUCCGCGUGAUUAUGAAACAUAACCGAAGAGUAUGUCGUUGCAAAUCCGUCUCCUGGAGAUGCUCCUCGCAAAGAGCUUCAGGAAGUUCGCUCAAUCUUCCACUAAGCUGGAUAAUUAUUCUGCGAUAUUUCUUAAGACCGUCUGUUUUACCCUGUAUCGCCCUCUAAACCUGGUUUUGAAUCGAGGUUGGUACAAUUGGCUUUCAGUUUUAAACAGUCAGGGUUGAGAUGACGGCUAAAGCUCAAGUGCGCUGGGGCCUUCUUUGAGGUACCGAAGUCUGUGCAGCCGUAUGUAUGGUCAAAAUAUAGCCAGCCCCUUGCGAGCCCCCAGUUUGCGAAGCUAGUCCAAUGAUGGGUGAGGAUGUUAUAUCUUCCUCUGCAUCUCUAUAUCAGGAUUUUGGAAGACGUCCUUUCUCUCUGAGAUGCAAUUAAUACUAUCCCCUGGACUGCGUAGAUGCUGUCACCUGUGAGAGUACUGCAGUUCUUGAAAGUCACAUUAUUCUGUUUCAGAUCCUUUCCAACUUGCUCCAGCAAAGGAGUUCAUCAUAACUACGAUUUGAAACUCGAAAGAAGCUUGCAUUCAUCACUGAGCUUUCUGACCAUGGAUGUGAUGUAGCAGACAUUCCUGACUACUGGGACCAGAACCUUACAAAAUCUCAUGCCCAAGAAACUGUCUGACAACAUGGCGGUGACGGAACGGCCCUGUUAGAAGCUUUCAGCAGCUCGGCAUUUUUACAGUUGUUACGAUUGCAGUCCGUUGCUUCUGGCCUCCGCUCCUGACUCUGAAGCAGAAGGGUGAUCGUUCGUAAUAAGUGGCUCGAUCUAAGUUUGCAAUGACCAGACUUGAAAAAACCUUCUCAUUUUGAUUUCACGCCAUUGUUGUGUUCGAACGACUUCUUGAUCACUGUAGUAAGGAAACCUUCCAUUUUUUUCAAUUCUCUUGAAAAUGUAUCAUUAAGUAACACACUUUUUGGUUAGUUGGCCCUUUGCAGUCACAUAUCUGCAGUAUGACCAUCCAAAAUUUUCCUUA
Molecule: non-coding RNA, 2136 nt
Organism: Physcomitrium patens
Lineage: Eukaryota; Viridiplantae; Streptophyta; Bryopsida; Funariales; Funariaceae
Source: RefSeq, a predicted model, not a curated record